UACGGAGGGUGCAAGCGUUGUCCGGAUUUAUUGGGUUUAAAGGGUGCGUAGGCGGCUUUUUAAGUCAGUGGUGAAAUCCUACAGCUUAACUGUAGAACAGCCAUUGAUACUGAAGAGCUUGAGUACAGACGAGGUAGGCGGAAUUUAUGGUGUAGCGGUGAAAUGCAUAGAUACCAUAAAGAACUCCUAUUGCGAAGGCAGCUUACUAGGCUGUAACUGACGCUGAGGCACGAAAGCGUGGGGAUCAAACAGG
RNAcentral lists this ribosomal RNA (253 nucleotides) under uncultured bacterium. RNAcentral describes it as "partial 16S ribosomal RNA". It matches the Rfam family "Bacterial small subunit ribosomal RNA", at positions 524 to 776 of the family's 1533-position model. The record is from RNAcentral.